GUGGGGAAUCUUAGACAAUGGGGGAAACCCUGAUCUAGCCAUGCCGCGUGAGUGAUGAAGGCCUUAGGGUCGUAAAGCUCUUUCGCUGGGGAAGAUAAUGACUGUACCCAGUAAAGAAACCCCGGCUAACUCCGUGCCAGCAGCCGCGGUAAUACGGAGGGGGUUAGCGUUGUUCGGAAUUACUGGGCGUAAAGCGCGCGUAGGCGGAUUGGAAAGUUGGGGGUGAAAUCCCGGGGCUCAACCCCGGAAUUGCCUUCAAAACUCCCAGUCUUGAGGUCGAGAGAGGUGAGUGGAAUUCCGAGUGUAGAGGUGAAAUUCGUAGAUAUUCGGAGGAACACCAGUGGCGAAGGCGGCUCACUGGCUCGAUACUGACGCUGAGGUGCGAAAGCGUGGGGAGCAAACAGGAUUAGAAACCCUUGUAGUCC
RNAcentral lists this ribosomal RNA (425 nucleotides) under uncultured bacterium. RNAcentral's name for it is "partial 16S ribosomal RNA". It matches the Rfam family "Bacterial small subunit ribosomal RNA", at positions 354 to 796 of the family's 1533-position model. The record is from RNAcentral.